GGACAACCUGCCCUUAGGUCGGGUAUAAACCCGGGAAACUGGGUAUAAUCCCCGAUAGGUCUCGGCUGCUGGAAUGCACCGAGAUUUAAAGCUCCGGCGCCUAAGGAUGGGUCUGCGGCCUAUCAGGUAGUAGUGGGUGUAGCGUACCUACUAGCCUACGACGGGUACGGGUUGUGAGAGCAAGAGCCCGGAGAUGGAUUCUGAGACACGAAUCCAGGCCCUACGGGGUGCAGCAGGCGCGAAAACUUUACAAUGCUGGCAACAGCGAUAAGGGAACCUCGAGUGCCAGGUUACAAAUCUGGCUGUCGAGAUGCCUAAAAAGCAUUUCAUAGCAAGGGCCGGGCAAGACCGGUGCCAGCCGCCGCGGUAACACCGGCGGCUCGAGUGGUAACCGUUAUUAUUGGGUCUAAAGGGUCUGUAGCCGGCCGGAUAAGUCUCUUGAGAAAUCUGGCAGCUUAACUGUCAGGCUUUCAGGAGAUACUGUCUGGCUCGAGGCCGGGAGAGGUGAGAGGUACUUCAGGGGUAGGGGUGAAAUCUUGUAAUCCUUGAAGGACCACCAGUGGCGAAGGCGUCUCACCAGAACGGACCUGACGGCAAGGGACGAAAGCUAGGGGCACGAACCGGAUUAGAUACCCGGGUAGUCCUAGCCGUAAACGAUACUCGCUAGGUGUCGGCCACGGUGCGACCGUUGUCGGUGCCGUAGGGAAGCCGUGAAGCGAGCCACCUGGGAAGUACGGCCGCAAGGCUGAAACUUAAAG
This 758-nucleotide ribosomal RNA is filed under the name uncultured Methanosaeta sp. RNAcentral describes it as "bacterial SSU rRNA". It matches the Rfam family "Archaeal small subunit ribosomal RNA", at positions 102 to 861 of the family's 1478-position model. The record is from RNAcentral. Lineage: Archaea; Methanobacteriati; Methanobacteriota; Methanomicrobia; Methanotrichales; Methanotrichaceae.